GAUGAACGCUAGCGGCAGGCCUAAUACAUGCAAGUCAAGGGGCCAGUAAUGGCACCGGCGGACGGGUGCGUAACGCGUACACAACGUACCUUUGGGUGGGGGAUAGCAUCGGGAAACUGGUGGUAAUACCCCAUGGUAUUGGAGACUGGCAUCAGUUUUCAAUUAAAGACUACGCCCAAAGAUCGGUGUGCGUCUGAUUAGCUAGUUGGUAGGGUAACGGCCUACCAAGGCGACGAUCAGUAGGGGGAUGUGAGAGCAUGAUCCCCCACACGGGUACUGAGACACGGACCCGACUCCUACGGGAGGCAGCAGUGGGGAAUUUUCCGCAAUGGGCGAAAGCCUGACGGAGCAAUACCGCGUGAGGGAAGAAUGCCUAUGGGUUGUAAACCUCUUUUUUCAGGGAGGAAAAGGUUUCUAUUAAUACUAGGAGCUCAUGACGGUACCGUAAGAAUAAGCACCGGCUAACUACGUG
Molecule: ribosomal RNA, 472 nt
Filed under: uncultured bacterium
Lineage: Bacteria
Description: bacterial SSU rRNA
Rfam family: Bacterial small subunit ribosomal RNA
Source: RNAcentral